Gossypium arboreum is the source of this 147-nucleotide non-coding RNA. NCBI's taxonomy places the organism in Eukaryota, Viridiplantae, Streptophyta, Magnoliopsida, Malvales, Malvaceae. The record is from Rfam.
UAUUAAAAUUUCAAUCUACUUCUGUUGUUAACAAUUGACAUGGCUGACGGAAUAUAACCAGACAAUUACAAGUGACAUGCUUAGUGUACCUCAUUCUAAUGUAUAGGGACCAAAUUUUAAAAUUAUAAAUAGAUGAAAUUUUUAACA